RNAcentral lists this ribosomal RNA (914 nucleotides) under uncultured marine archaeon. RNAcentral's name for it is "bacterial SSU rRNA". It matches the Rfam family "Archaeal small subunit ribosomal RNA", at positions 1 to 922 of the family's 1478-position model. The record is from RNAcentral.
UUCCGGUUGAUCCUGCCGGACCUGACUGCUAUCGGAUUGAUACUAAGCCAUGCGAGUCUUUGCAGUAAUGCAAGGCAUACGGCUCAGUAACACGUAGUCAACUUACCCUAUGGACGAGGAUAAUCUCGGGAAACUGAGCAUAAUACUCGAUAGAUCAUAAUGCCUGGAAUGGUUUAUGGUUAAAAUGAUUCGUCGCCGUAGGAUGGGACUGCGGCCUAUCAGCUUGUUGGUGAGGUAAUGGCCCACCAAGGCGAUUACAGGUACGGGCUCUGAGAGGAGAAGCCCGGAGAUGGGUACUGAGACAAGGACCCAGGCCCUAUGGGGCGCAGCAGGCGAGAAAACUUUGCAAUGUGCGAAAGCACGACAAGGUUAAUCCGAGUGAUUUCUGCUAAAGAAAUCUUUUGCAAGUCAUAAAACCACUAGUGAAUAAGGGGUGGGCAAGUUCUGGUGUCAGCCGCCGCGGUAAAACCAGCACCUCAAGUGGUCAGGAUGAUUAUUGGGCCUAAAGCAUCCGUAGCCGGCUCUGUAAGUUUUCGGUUAAAUCCAUGUGCUCAACGCAUGGGCUGCCGAAAAUACUGCAUAGCUAGGGAGUGGGAGAGGUAGACGGUACUCGGUAGGAAGGGGUAAAAUCCUUUGAUCUAUCGAUGACCACCUGUGGCGAAGGCGGUCUACCAGAACACGUUCGACGGUGAGGGAUGAAAGCUGGGGGAGCAAACCGGAUUAGAUACCCGGGUAGUCCCAGCUGUAAACGAUGCAGACUCGAUGAUGCAUUGGCAUAUAGCCAGUGCAGUGUCGCAGGGAAGCCGUUAAGUCUGCCGCCUGGGAAGUACGUACGCAAGUAUGAAACUUAAAGGAAUUGGCGGGGGAGCACCACAAGGGGUGAAGCCUGCGGUUCAAUUGGAGUCAACGCCGGG